CUGCUAAUACCGAAUGUGCCGAGAGGUGAAAGCUUUAGUGCCUGAAGAUGAGCUCGCGUCUGAUUAGCUAGUUGGUGGUGUAAUGGACCACCAAGGCGACGAUCAGUAGCUGGUCUGAGAGGAUGAUCAGCCACACUGGGACUGAGACACGGCCCAGACUCCUACGGGAGGCAGCAGUGGGGAAUUUUCCGCAAUGGGCGAAAGCCUGACGGAGCAAGACCGCGUGAGGGAGGAAGGCCUACUGGUUGUAAACCUCUUUUGAUAGGGAAGAACACAAUGACGGUACCUAUCGAAUCAGCAUCGGCUAACUCCGUGCCAGCAGCCGCGGUAAUACGGAGGAUGCAAGCGUUAUCCGGAUUUAUUGGGCGUAAAGCGUCCGUAGGUGGAUGGCCAAGUCAGUUGUUAAAGCGUGGAGCUUAACUCCAUAACGGCAAUUGAAACUGGUGGUCUAGAGUGCGACAGGGGCAAGGGGAAUUCCCAGUGUAGCGGUGAAAUGCGUAGAUAUUGGGAAGAACAUCGGUGGCGAAAGCGCCUUGCUGGGUCUGCACUGACACUGAGGGACGAAAGCUAGGGGAGCGAAAGGGAUUAGAU
RNAcentral lists this ribosomal RNA (591 nucleotides) under Leptolyngbya sp. NC-DW (S9). RNAcentral's name for it is "bacterial SSU rRNA". It matches the Rfam family "Bacterial small subunit ribosomal RNA", at positions 160 to 783 of the family's 1533-position model. The record is from RNAcentral. Lineage: Bacteria; Bacillati; Cyanobacteriota; Cyanophyceae; Leptolyngbyales; Leptolyngbyaceae.